RNAcentral lists this ribosomal RNA (301 nucleotides) under uncultured bacterium. RNAcentral's name for it is "partial 16S ribosomal RNA". It matches the Rfam family "Bacterial small subunit ribosomal RNA", at positions 509 to 807 of the family's 1533-position model. The record is from RNAcentral.
CAGUCGCCACGGUAAUACGGAGGGUGCAAGCGUUACUCGGAAUCACUGGGCGUAAAGGACGCGUAGGCGGAUUAUCAAGUCUCUUGUGAAAUCUAACGGCUUAACCGUUAAACUGCUUGGGAAACUGAUAAUCUAGAGUAAGGGAGAGGCAGAUGGAAUUCUUGGUGUAGGGGUAAAAUCCGUAGAGAUCAAGAAGAAUACCCAUUGCGAAAGCGAUCUGCUGGAACUUAACUGACGCUAAUGCGUGAAAGCGUGGGGAGCAAACGGGAUUAGAUACCCGAGUAGUCCCUGUCUCUUAUAC